RNAcentral lists this long non-coding RNA (3659 nucleotides) under Ursus thibetanus thibetanus. RNAcentral describes it as "lncRNA (ENSUTTG00000019682.1)". Lineage: Eukaryota; Metazoa; Chordata; Mammalia; Carnivora; Ursidae. The record is from RNAcentral.
ACGGAAAUGAUGAGGCCUGUGACCCGCACGGAGCAGUGUCAGCCAAUGAGAAGAGCGAGUGCUUCUAGUAGCCAAUAAACAACUGAUAUGUAAAUCACCUCGGAAGGUAACGGUACUUGGGUGGGAUCAGGCUCUCGGUCCUCAGUAGCCUGCCGAAGACGGGUGCCCUCGAGGCUGGUCUCCGCGUCCCGAAGUCGAGGGGCGGGGCGGGGACGGGCCCUUGCCUGGGCGCAAUGGAGAAGCACCAUAGACGGGAGAAGACUAUUUCUGGAUGUAUUAACUACCUGUGUUCCUUGCUUUUCUCUCUGGUUAACUCUGAAGUCUUGGGAUUUUUCUCCCGUGUAAGAAAGGGAGAAUUCAGUAAGGGAAAGAUGUGUGAUUUUUCCAAAUCUCCUAACAUUUCUAUAUUGAAUAUGUGUUACUUCACUAAUGAGAAAAAAAUGGCGAUGUUAUUUAAAAUGUUGGCUUCUGAAAUCAGACAUUCUGAGGUCCUUUCCAGCCUCAUCAAACCGUCUUCUUGCUGCAGUGGGGACUACACACUCACCUAGACUUUUGGACUCCUCCUCCAGGUGGGUGAUACUGAUAGAGGAAUGUUUGGAAUCCAAGGGUUGCUGAGAGAAUUCUUAACUGCUUUUUAUGAGUUUUUCUCCCUGACAACACUUCAAGACUUCUUUCUCCCUGAGAACACUUCAAGAAAAAUGCUUCGCCCUCUGGAUAACUGCAGUUUUCUCUCUGUUGUUUUUCAGAAGGCUGACUGAUAAAGACACACCAUCUAGGGAACCGUGCAGAAUAUUUUUCUCCAAGACGAGUCAUGAUUGACUUCUCCCUUGAUCUCUGCCAUUCUUUCUUAUGAUGGCAAGGUUUGGCAUCAGGAAGAACAUAUGAAUUUAGGAUGAGGACAGAUAGCAUAUCAUCAAAAGCCCUGAUUUUUAAAAAAUUGAAUAUAUUUGAUAUAUAACAUUGUGUCAAUUUAAGAUGUACACUGUGCUAAGUUGAUAUAUUUAUAUAUUGUAAUAUGAUUGCCUUUGCAGCUGUAUUUAGCACCUUUACCACAUUACAUAAUUAUCCAUUCCUUUUAGUCUUUGGGAUAAUUCCAUUUUAGUCUCUUAGUAAGUUUGAUAAUGGAGUACAAUAUUGUUGUCUAUAUUCAUGAUACUGUGAAUUCGAUCUCUAGGACUUACUUACUACUCAUUGUAAGUUUGUACCCUUGAACAACAUCAGUCUUAUCCCCUCACCCCUAUCCCCCGGUGUUGCAGGAUUAUUUUUUUCUCUGUCAGUGCCCAUGGUUCUCAGUCAUGCAGCUUCGAAGAAUAGAGAGGUAAGCCAGACGGAGUGGCGGGCAGCAGAAUCAAGGCUUAUUGAGUGAUAGCGAAGUGAUAACCCAAAGCUCCCGAGGAGGGAGGGGACCUGAGAAGGUUGCCACGGGAGUUUCUAAAUCUGGGGAUUUUUAUGGGCUUGUUGACAGGCUGUUUUAAUCUGAUUAACCCUCCCUGUGUCUUUCAUCCAAUCAGGUUUUUGUCACAUGGGAAAGGGUGGCUGGGCUCCUUCCAGGGUGGUGUAAAAUUCUUUUAAGGGUGGUUUCCUCUUAGGGCGGAGGCCCUUACCCUGCCUGCCUGCCUUCCAACUCUCCUUCCUCACCAUUUUACUCUCUGGUUUUUGUUAAGUUUGACUUUUUUAGAUUCCACUUAUAAGUGAUACCAUCUAAUUCUUCCCUUUUUCUGUCUGACUUGUCUCACUUAGCAUAGUGUACUCAGGGUCCAUCCAUGGUGUUGCAAAUAUCAGGAUAUCUUCCUUUCUCAUGGCUGAAUAAUCCAUUGUGUAGAUUUUUUUUUUUUUUUACCCAUUCACCAGUAUAUGGGCCUUUAGGCUACUUCUGUAUCUUAAAGCCCUGAUAUUUUUAAUCUGUGGCAACACGUGAGGAAAAAGCCGAGAACUCCAAUGGGCAUCAGCCUUGACCAGCAAGAGGCGCUGUUGUGAGGGGCACUUGGCUGGUUCAGUCCACAGAGUGGGCGACUUUUGAUCUCCGGGUUGCAAGUUCAAGUUCGAGCCCCAUGCUGGGUGUGGAGCCUACUUAAAAAAACAAAACCAAACAGAGGUGGUGUUGUGCAUUGCGGAAGGGAAGGCAGGUCUUCUCAGCACAUUCGCCUACACAGAUAACACUGUCAGCAAGGGAAUCUUCAGAAGAGGGAGAUGAUAUGUGCACACGUGUGAGUGUGUGUGUAUAUCUGUCAGAAGCUGGUGUGUGAAGUGGGCGGUGACUGUGUGUGUCUCUCUCCUAUAGAUGUGUCCGCACAAGGAACCCAAGAGUUGGGAAGGGGGAGAGAUGCUCUCUGGGGGGAGCAAGGCAGAGGGGGUUUGCUGUCCUUGCCUGACCUCUUUGCUGUGUUGGUCCCAGACAUUCCAGGCUAGCCCAUGGGGAUGCAGUGCCCUCCUGUGGUUGGCGUGGUUCUUCCUAACUUUCUCNNNNNNNNNNUCCUGAUGUUCUAAGGAGCCAUUCUCUCGCUUUAUUCCAGCUCUUGCUAUGAUACAGUUUGAACUAAAGAGGGUUCGUGUUCGGGUUCGUAAGGUCUUGGGAAAAGGAAAGGAAGUGCUUGCUCAUGAGAAGGAGAGAAAGCACUGAUGGCUGAAAGCAGAGGGGGCUGAAGGCGAAUGUAAGGGCUCCCAGGGUAGGAGGAGGCAAAAAGGGCAUGACUCACCCGUGCUUGGAAUCUCCCAACCUCUGCUCAUUGCCCUCAGAUGCUGAUAGCAUCGGUGACCCAGAAACACACGAAGAGCCCCGGAGUCUGGUGGCCUUCUCCUCAAGUCUCCUUUCUGUAGUCCUCCAAACCCUCUGCACCUAAAAUAGCUAAUGUCUGUAUAAUUGUGUCCCUUCCAAUUCACCCAUCCAAAGUCCUGGCAAGACCACUUGAGUGGAAAGCAGCAGAGAGUGGACGGCGUGCUUCAUGUCUUCUGUUUGAAGGAAGGAAGGAAGACAGAUUGGCCUUCUAAAGGCACAGCUGGAAAUUUAUUUUUUGCCUUUGUUUCAGCAAAAUCACUGUUGUUGCAGUCUAGAUUUUCACACAAUUUAUGUUCUUCUUAUGACAGCAAUGGAUGUCAAAUUAGCUAAUUUUUCUUGGAUCAUUGUAGGUUAUUAGUUUUUAAAAAUUAAUUUCCAUUUGAAGAUAUUUUGCUCUGUUAAAAGAUUAUGGUAAAGUAUUAUCAAUUAGUUAAUAAUUAUCAACAACUCAUUAUUUUAUAUGUUUGUGUUAGUUACCUGUUGGCCUCUCUUAAAUGUGAGGCCCGGGGAAGGGCCUGAUCUAGGGUAGUUCUGUUCUUAAAGCAAUAUUUGGGGCGCCUGCGUGGCUCAGUUGGUUAAGCAUCGAACUCUUGAUUUGGGCUCAGGUCAUGAUCUCAGGGUCAUGAGACUGAGCCCCUUGUUGGGCUCUGUGCUCAGUAUGGAGUCUGUUUGAGAUUCUCUCUCUCCUCCUCACUCUGCCCCUUCCCUCUACCUCUCCCGCUGCGUGCUUUCUCUGUCUCUCUCAAAUAAAUAAAUCUUUAAAAGAAAAUAAAGCAAUAUUUACAAAUAUUAAAGCGUAUUUGUAAUGAGUUUUACAUAUCAUGUUGUAACACUGAAAUGGGGUUGCAUAUUUAAAUUAAGAUUAUCGCAGUAAGUGUUACGG